RNAcentral lists this ribosomal RNA (416 nucleotides) under uncultured bacterium. RNAcentral's name for it is "bacterial SSU rRNA". It matches the Rfam family "Bacterial small subunit ribosomal RNA", at positions 356 to 773 of the family's 1533-position model. The record is from RNAcentral.
GAGGAAUAUUGCGCAAUGGCCGAAAGGCUGACGCAGCGACGCCGCGUGAAGGAUGAAGUUCGUUAGAAUGUAAACUUCUUUUGUAGGGGAUGAAUGUGCCGGUUUCCGGCAUUGACCGUACCCUGCGAAUAAGGAUCGGCUAACUACGUGCCAGCAGCCGCGGUAAUACGUAGGAUCCGAGCGUUGUCCGGAUUUACUGGGUGUAAAGGGCGUGUAGGUGGGUCUUUAAGUCGGUGGUGAAAGCCCGCAGCUUAACUGCGGAAUUGCCAUUGAUACUGGAGGUCUUGAGUACGGCAGAGGGAAAUGGAAUUCAUGGUGUAGCGGUGAAAUGUGUAGAUAUCAUGAAGAACACCGGUAGCGAAGGCGGUUUCCUGGUCCGUAACUGACACUGAGGCGCGAAAGCGUGGGGAGCAAAC